AGUCAAUCUUAGUACCGCCCCCAUGUAAUGGCAGCUUGUUGUAUCCACUGUAAACAAUCGAUGAGGAAGAUCGUCUUUCUGUAUGAAGCAUAAUGUUGACUUUAUGAACCAUCUACACUAACAAAUUCAGCCUACCAUGAGUACAGUGGGUGAAAAUCAGCUGCAGAGAAUAAUCAGAGAUUUGCAUGAUGCAGUUUCUGAGUUGAGCAAAGAACAUUAUGAUUCUGGAGAGCCCAUCACCGAUGACAGCGCCAGUCUUCACAAGUUCUGUUAUAAACUGGAGUACCUA
Long non-coding RNA from Sinocyclocheilus grahami, 289 nucleotides. RefSeq lists it as uncharacterized. Lineage: Eukaryota; Metazoa; Chordata; Actinopteri; Cypriniformes; Cyprinidae. The record is from RefSeq and is a predicted model, not a curated record. The transcript has 3 exons.